RNAcentral lists this long non-coding RNA (515 nucleotides) under Anas platyrhynchos platyrhynchos (common mallard). RNAcentral's name for it is "lncRNA (ENSAPLG00000019277.1)". Lineage: Eukaryota; Metazoa; Chordata; Aves; Anseriformes; Anatidae. The record is from RNAcentral.
AUGGAGCUAUUCCAUACAGCUUUAGAGUAGCUGUUUGGGAGGUCCGGAGUUUGCUCACACUCAUUUUUAUUUGCAACCAAGUUUGAAAUUGGAGAUAGCAGUUUGACUUGAAAGUAGCUUUCUGCAUCCUGCACACGUGGUGGUCAGUCACAUUCUUAAGUCUGGGCAAAAGUAAGACUGCAAUUACAAGUCAACUGCAUUGGAAAUAAGAGUCUGCUCAGCACUGGAAUACAUUUGUACAUUUUAAUUUCAGAUACUAUCUCAUUUGAAAUACUUUUGGGCACACUGGAAUUCAGGGAAUAAUGAAGAGUCUGGCUACUACAGCAGGAGGCAUUAAAACAAGCCCAGAUCGACCGGAGGAGCCAGCUGAUGCAUCCUGAGAACAGCAGACUGGUCCAGGCACGUGGCAGAAAGCAACCACCAAGGUACCGGAGAAGGCGGCUCCAAGCCUAGUAUUUCUUCCUGCCAUCCUCAAAUGGAAUAAAAGAGACUGGGAAUAGAAAAUAAAUAAAUAA